Molecule: ribosomal RNA, 495 nt
Filed under: uncultured bacterium
Lineage: Bacteria
Description: partial 16S ribosomal RNA
Rfam family: Bacterial small subunit ribosomal RNA
Source: RNAcentral
UGAACGCUGGCGGCGUGCCUAAUACAUGCAAGUCGAGCGCACAGACGCGGAGCUUGCUCCUCUGACGUUAGCGGCGGACGGGUGAGUAACACGUGGAUAACCUACCUAUAAGACUGGGAUAACUUCGGGAAACCGGAGCUAAUACCGGAUAAUAUAUUGAACCGCAUGGUUCAAUAGUGAAAGACGGUUUUGCUGCCACUUAUAGAUGGAUCCGCGCCGCAUUAGCUAGUUGGUAAGGUAACGGCUUACCAAGGCAACGAUGCGUAGCCGACCUGAGAGGGUGAUCGGCCACACUGGAACUGAGACACGGUCCAGACUCCUACGGGAGGCAGCAGUAGGGAAUCUUCCGCAAUGGGCGAAAGCCUGACGGAGCAACGCCGCGUGAGUGAUGAAGGUCUUCGGAUCGUAAAACUCUGUUAUUAGGGAAGAACAAAUGUGUAAGUAACUAUGCACGUCUUGACGGUACCUAAUCAGAAAGCCACGGCUAACUACGUG